GAUGAACGCUGGCGGCGUGCCUAAUACAUGCAAGUCGAGCGAACGGACGAGAAGCUUGCUUUUCUGAUGUUGGCGGCGGACGGGUGAGUAACACGUGGAUAACCUACCUAUAAGACUGGGAUAACUUCGGGAAACCGGAGCUAAUACCGGAUAAUAUUUUGAACCGCAUGGUUCAAAAGUGAAAGACGGUCUUGCUGUCACUUAUAGAUGGAUCCGCGCUGCAUUAGCUAGUUGGUAAGGUAACGGCUUACCAAGGCAACGAUGCAUAGCCGACCUGAGAGGGUGAUCGGCCACACUGGAACUGAGACACGGUCCAGACUCCUACGGGAGGCAGCAGUAGGGAAUCUUCCGCAAAGGGCGAAAGCCUGACGGAGCAACGCCGCGUGAGUGAUGAAGGUCUUCGGAUCGUAAAACUCUGUUAUUAGGGAAGAACAUAUGUGUAAGUAACUGUGCACAUCUUGACGGUACCUAAUCAGAAAGCCACGGCUAACUACGUG
Molecule: ribosomal RNA, 497 nt
Filed under: uncultured bacterium
Lineage: Bacteria
Description: partial 16S ribosomal RNA
Rfam family: Bacterial small subunit ribosomal RNA
Source: RNAcentral